CUAACAAAAGUUAAUUUGGGGCACGGAGAUUUUUAAAUAAUCUUUGCUAGCUUGAACUCUUUGGGAGAGUAAAUUUGGAGUCCACACACCACAGUAGUUAUACCACUCAGUAGAUAGCUUGCUACUAUUUUGUGUCUUACAUU
Molecule: small nucleolar RNA, 143 nt
Organism: Sorex fumeus (smoky shrew)
Lineage: Eukaryota; Metazoa; Chordata; Mammalia; Eulipotyphla; Soricidae
Product: small nucleolar RNA SNORA4
Exons: 1
Source: RefSeq, a predicted model, not a curated record